Molecule: transfer RNA, 91 nt
Filed under: Dreissena polymorpha
Lineage: Eukaryota; Metazoa; Mollusca; Bivalvia; Myida; Dreissenidae
Rfam family: tRNA
About the family: Transfer RNA (tRNA) molecules are approximately 80 nucleotides in length.
Source: Rfam by way of RNAcentral
GCCGGAAUAGCUCAGUUGGGAGAGCGUUAGACUGAAGUUGUUUACGAAACAGUUAUCCAAAGGCCCCCAAGUUCAAUCCCGGGUUCCGGCA